Carya illinoinensis is the source of this 5120-nucleotide long non-coding RNA. RefSeq lists it as uncharacterized. NCBI's taxonomy places the organism in Eukaryota, Viridiplantae, Streptophyta, Magnoliopsida, Fagales, Juglandaceae. The transcript is spliced from 7 exons. The record is from RefSeq and is a predicted model, not a curated record.
GUUCAUGAACUUCAUUAGGACUGAGAACGGCCUGGGCCAAAUCCCUUAAGUAUCAAAGCAGGAGCCCAAACUUUUAUCUUCAUCGGAGUUCUUCCUCCACUCUUCGGGUCAGUCCGUACGAUCCACUUAUCUCAAUUUUCGUGUGUUAAAUUACUGUUAUAUCUUACAAGAUGCCUUCUGCUUAAGAUCCAUUUUAUGUAGUGAAAGAGGUGAAAGAGGAUAUUCAAGAAUAUGAUUGUUCUUGAUUACAAGGGAAGAUAAAAAGUUCAAGAUUGAAUAUCCUUGAGUUGAACAGAUCUUGAAAGAACAAAUUAUGGUUGUCUCAUGAUUGUUCUAUCGUUGUCUCAUGAUUUAGAACCACUACUGCCACUGUUUCGAAUAUCUAAUUAGGAAGAGUCGUGCUAUAUAUAGUAAGAACGAACAGACCAUGACCGUGCACAGUGCACUCAAACGGGAAAUGUCAUACACCUUAUCCAUUUGCGGCAGCGCCCACAGCUUUUGAAGAACCACUUAUGCUUAAUUACCACCAAAUGGACGGUGCUGUGUCCAUCGCUCCCAGCUCCGAAGCUAUUGUUAGGUGGCUAGGAGCAUUAUGUCAUUAUGGGACGUGGACUUCAUUUGCCCAUAACAAUUAAAUAUCGUUGACAGCUUAAUUUCCUCGAACCAGCUUCUUCGAUACCUCGAUGUUGUAUCUUUUUUUCUCAUGUUAAUUUCAAGGUAAAAGAUGUUUGGGAGUACUUAUAUAUAUAUCUUUCUAUAAUAAUAAGUGUCUAUAAUAUUGCUACAGUAAUAAACAGUAAAAUCACAUUCCGUUUCCGUGUGUUUCAUAUCUUCACUUUUUCCUUCAGUUUUUGUGUAUACCAUCCGUGCAAAAGUCUUUAAAUUGUGUCAGUGAUUUAUUUUUGUGUGAUUUCCACCGAUUACAUUGGUACUCAAGCCUGCUGUUGUGUCCCCUCUGUCAUUUAUCAAUGCAUGCGUAUAGAAGCUGCUCUUUCCUUCAGUUGGCCAGUGCAUGCGUAUAGGUAAUACCAGUUUGUCAGGUAUGAGUACGGAAAAUUGUGAGGUUUACAUCUUUAACGUAUAGGAAAAGAAAAAACGGUAGCAGCUUCUCUCGUCAGAAACAACCACCAUUCAAGGUAGCAAAUUCUCUCCGCCAUGCCACCAGCCCGUCCACAGUGUCUCCAUUGUUUUCCUUGGGGUGAGCUUCUGCAAGUUUCAGCUGCCCAGCAUGCUCUUCACGGUCUCGUGUGGGUAUGCUCUUUGCGGUGUCGACGCUGAAGCGGGGAAGGUUUUGGCCAUCGAUCAGAGAGAUUUUAUGUAAUUGGGAGUGAUCGCAAUAAGAGGUUCUUUCGGGUGUUGAAGAUUGACUGUAGUGAGCUGUCUGAUCUCAACAUCAGUGAAGACCCAGUGGUGUAUUCGCCAAAGGAAAUCAAGAACUUGCUUCAGCGCAUUGAUGUUUUUGGUAUUGUGGGUUGCAUUACUUUACUAAAAUCUGGAGGAAUACUGACCAACUAGAAUUAUUUCGCUAAAGUUCAGCAAAUUGUCUCUCGGUAAUGUGGCACCCAAAAUUGAAGGUAUGAACCGUUAAUUAGCUUUUAGAUCAGGCCGCAAAUUGCUUGCCCCUCAUUCAGUUUAAUAAAAAUUAAAUCUUCAUUAACUAAUCAACCUUUAAGAUGGGUAUUUCUCAUCUCACAAAUUCAAUGUAGAAAACCCACUUUCAUGUUUGUUUUUGCUCCCACCACCUAUCUUGUUGCCCAUUUCUUUUCUUCCAUGUGUUUUCCAUUUGCUUAAAACAUUUUUACUCAGAUUGUCCAACUCAGCCAAAGGUGGCUUUAAAGUAAGGGGAAUUAUGAAGUAUGAUAAAUUAUUUGCUAGGCGAGGCCAUAACAAGUAAGAUAAAAAAGUUUGCAUGAAGAGCGAGUGCUUUUCUGAUUAAAUGGGCCAAUUUUAAUAAGAAAAAUCUAUUCAUUAGAUCAAAGACCAUGAUUUCCCAAGAAUGCAUUAUCUUUUAUGGUACAUUUUAAUCUUUUGUAGGAAAUUAUGCCUCAAGGAUCUUUAGUCCUUGAAAUAUAUUGUUUUUAAGAUACACUUACUGUUUUUAGGGUCAUCAUGAUAUGCAUUGUUUUUUAUUUCUUGUAUAUAUAUAUAUAUAUGUAUAUAUAUAAUUACCCCACAGACAGUGCUACGAACCAGAUUGUAGACCUAUCGGAUUAAUCCUCUUGGUUUUUAUUUCCCACAGACAGUCUCCCUUUUUGUCAAAUCCUGGUGAAAUGAGUACGUGAAGAAUGACUCAAAUCUAUUUUGACUAACAAAAUUUAGAACCAAAAUUUUAAAUUCUUAAACACUGAAAAUCUGUUUAUAUGUAUGGACACGGAUUUUUUAUUUCUUUUUUUCCCUUGUCACAAGACACCCUUUUUGGUUAUUUCCGUGUUUUUCAAUUGUAACUUGAAAAAACUAUCACAAUCUUAUAAGUAUAUAUUGUAACUUAAAAUCUGUUCCAGGAUAUUGUAAGAAGCGAUGUGUGCCAGUUAGUUUAGUUAGUGUCUGCUAUGUAUCAUUAUCGUUCAAGACUGUCACUUCUCUAACAGUCUUUCUUUUUCUUUUUUUUUUUCUUUUUUUUUUCUCUCUAAAUAUUAAUCUCGAAACUUGAGUACUUCUAAUGUUGUUGGGAUAAAAGUAUAUAAUGCUGCCUAAUAUAAUACCUGAUCGAUGUUGGUUGUGUAUAGUAUGUUGUUUGUUUCUAUAUGCAUAUAAAGAUUGUUGCGUUGAGUGAUAUUUUCUUGAUUUUUUUUUGGCUCCGUUAUAUGUGUGACGAUGCAAGCAUCAAUUCUACAUGUAUCGUCAAAAAUGCUAUUUCCUUGGAUCUGUUUUGAUUUUUUAAACAACUUAUGUCUGGGUUUAAAGAUCAGCAAUGGAUUUUUCUGCCUCUUAGUUUGUGUAUAUCUGUUUUUCUUAUUUUUUUUUCCUGCUUUUGAACGCUGGAGAUUGAUAAAAGUUAUCAAAGUAAUUUAUAAUGGAUUCAUUGAAGUGAGGAUGAGAAGAUAUUAAUUAAUUUGUAUUGUUAUCAUCCUUUCUUUGUAUGUAUAUAUUAAUUUUCUAAAUGUUUGUGUAAGAUCAUAUCUAUUAGUCCAAAUUUUGUGUGGUGGAUGUUAGUGUGUAGAACUAAGUGGUUUGUUGCUUUUUUAUGAGGGUUCUGCAGAUGCAAAUGUGUAAAGGUAGAUGUUUUUGUUAGAUUAUUUACUUGUAAAUUGUCAAUUGAAGAGGCUGUUUGAAAUUCAAAGGAACUAUGUGGGGUUUGGAUCUGAAAGUUGCUCUUGCAUCCAUAAAAAAUUUUUCACGGAUUGUUAUUCCUUUUGUUGCAGUUCUUGUAAAAUGAAUUCCUUUCUUAUUGUUUAGAGGUUGGUUGUAUUUAAGUUUUUUUUUUUUAAUAAGUAAUAAGAGAUUUUAUUCUCAAGAGUAGGCAUACGCCCAAGUACACAGGACGUAUACAAGUUGAAUAUCUCAUUCGCUUCCUCCAUAAUCUAAUAUCGGUUGGUUUAAUAAUUUUGUUUUGGUAUUUUCCUAAUUUCAAGUGCUAAUCUGAAUCAUUAAUGUGCACCUGAAGCAAAUUAUCUAGGUUCAAAUUUAACAGUGAAUUAUAUAUAUAUAUCUCCUAACUAAUUCAAACAGAUAUGUUAAUUUGUUUUUAUUCUGGACUGUUUGUGUGAUUUCAUAUACGCUGAGUUUUUGCCGUUUGGUGCAUAUAUGGAUAGAAAUUUACAGAGCAACAUGCUGAUAAUAAAAAAUUGUAUCUACAUUUGUCUUAAGAAUAUCUUAUUCCUGACUGAAUUUUGGAAUCUAUCAUCGUUAUCGAGCUCUUUCCCCUUUGAAUAUUUGCAGUUAUACAGUUACUAAACAGUUCAAUGUUAAGUUGCAUCAUCCUGUACUUAAUAACUUCCACGCCUCAACUUUCUUUGAGAGUCCAAUAUUUUAUUGGUAUUUUCUUUAUUCUGAAAAAGGGAUCCAUUUAUUCCCAGUAACUCUCUUGGCUGGUUGGGAAUUUCAUUAAACUGUUGAUACAAUAAGUUGUUUAUCGAUUGUUGUGAAACACCUAAUGACAUUUGUGAAUUUUUUAAAGAAUUUUCUUUUGGACUAAAUCUGUGUACAUACUUUUCCAAGCUUUGCAUUUGAAAUGUUGUGAAUUGAAGCCAUGGUUUAGUUGUAUGGAUUUCGUAAAUGCUUAAGUUAGAUGUUUGUGUCUGAUUUUUUGCAGAAUAAUUAAAGAGAAGUAAAAUAUGAACAAAAUAUGAGCACUGUCUUUUCAUCAAAAUCUACGGUAUAACCUUCUAGGUGUUUACCAAUAUUGAUAUUCUUGUUACUGAUGAAGUUUGACUUCAUCUAAAUAAUUCUGUUUGUUUGUUUUUUAUUUUUUUAUUUUUCCCGUUUGUUAUUAUACAAGAAGUUGCAGCCUUAGAAAAUUACAAACAGAGAAUGAGAAAGAACAAAAACAAGAAACAGAAAAACAGUUGAAUCUUACAGGUAAGGUUGUUGUGUCUAAAUUCAACAAGGUGACUUACUGCUGGGAGAAACUAAAAGACACGAAUGGAAGUAAAAUCUGGUGCUACCUCCAACUUGAGGUGAAAUUGGUCGCGAUGGUUGCCAUGACUAUAAACAGGUAAGAGUUUAGUUUGGGUUGUUUAGCAGUUCAUGUCUUUGAUACAGACGAUUCUUGGUUGCUGUUAUGGUGGACAAACAACAACUUCGUAGUGGCUUAUCGUAUGAUUUGGACGUGGUAGCUUCUAUCUGAAGGCAACAAACGUGAAAGUAUUCUACAUUUAGAAUUUCUUUUGUUUUGUUAUAGUUCAUUAAAAUCUGUUUGCUAAUUACAGAUUUUGUUUUUUAGGUUAUCAUUCUAAAAUUAGAUAAGAAUUUGCUUCGAAAAAUUCCACAGACAUGUCAUGUUUCUUUCACAUUUUGUGAAGUAUCAUUUCCUUGACUAUCAGAUUGACUCUCUAUGGAUGAUUUUUUGAAUCUUCUGGAUCAUUAAAUUAAGUAUAUGUAAAGACACAGAAUUGGAAGUAUUGAUUUGGAUAUUACCUGGAGAAAUUCAGUAGGCAUUAGAAUGGAAUGUUAGAACUAAA